UCCACCUCCUCCUUUUCAGCCUGACUAGCAGAAGCAGUUGGAUCUUGUGCAGAGCCCAUUUCCUUCUCGACCUUAGCCUGCAUUUCGCGAAGAGCACCUGCUUCAUCCUCAAUCUCCUUCAAUCUCUUCUUCAUAUUCUCUAACUCCUUAGCAUUAGGGUCAUCCUCAGAUUCAGCAGCAGCAGAUGUGUCAUACUCGGCAUCCAUCUCUCCUUCUUCAUCAGGUAUUUCUCCUCCGUAAACCUCGUGCUCGUGUUCAUCAUCGUAUUCGUUGUCCUGGUGCUCCAUCUCCUCUCUCUCUAACUGUACUACAACACAAGUGUUCCCUCACGGCGGAGAAGGGCCGGCAGACGCGGCGGUGGAGUGAAAUUGAUUUUUCUAGGUUUUCAAAUACGGGGAUUGGAAGUAGGGGGCAGAAAAGUCGGUCGGUG
Molecule: unclassified non-coding RNA, 430 nt
Filed under: Hevea brasiliensis (rubber tree)
Lineage: Eukaryota; Viridiplantae; Streptophyta; Magnoliopsida; Malpighiales; Euphorbiaceae
Source: RNAcentral